RNAcentral lists this ribosomal RNA (253 nucleotides) under uncultured bacterium. RNAcentral describes it as "partial 16S ribosomal RNA". It matches the Rfam family "Bacterial small subunit ribosomal RNA", at positions 524 to 776 of the family's 1533-position model. The record is from RNAcentral.
UACGUAGGGCGCAAGCGUUGUCCGGAAUUAUUGGGCGUAAAGAGCUCGUAGGCGGCUUGUCACGUCGGGUGUGAAAGCCCGGGGCUUAACCCCGGGUCUGCAUUCGAUACGGGCUGGCUAGAGUGUGGUAGGGGAGAUCGGAAUUCCUGGUGUAGCGGUGAAAUGCGCAGAUAUCUGGAGGAACACCGGUGGCGAAGGCGGCAUCCUGGGCCGGUAUUGACGCUGAGGCGCGAAAGCCAGGGGAGCAAACGGG